AACCAGCUCUACAAGUGGUCGGGAUGAUUAUUGGGCUUAAAGUGUCCGUAGCCGGUUUAGUAAGUUCCUGGUAAAAUCAGGUAGCUUAACUAUCUGUAUGCUAGGAAUACUACUAUACUAGAGGGCGGGAGAGGUCUGAGGUACUACAGGGGUAGGGGUGAAAUCUUAUAAUCCUUGUAGGACCACCAGUGGCGAAGGCGUCAGACUGGAACGUGCCGUGACGGUGAGGGACGAAAGCCAGGGGAGCGAACCGGAUUAGAUACCCGGGUAGUCCUGGCCGUAAACGAUGCAUACUAGGUGAUGGCCCGGCCAUGAGCCGUGUCAGUGCCGUAGGGAAACCGUUAAGUGUGCCGCCUGGGAAGUACGGUCGCAAGGCUAAAACUUAAAGGAAUUGGCGGGGGAGCACCACAAGGGGUGAAGCCUGCGGUUC
RNAcentral lists this ribosomal RNA (430 nucleotides) under uncultured archaeon. RNAcentral's name for it is "bacterial SSU rRNA". It matches the Rfam family "Archaeal small subunit ribosomal RNA", at positions 474 to 903 of the family's 1478-position model. The record is from RNAcentral.